This 281-nucleotide ribosomal RNA is filed under the name uncultured Peptoniphilus sp. RNAcentral describes it as "partial 16S ribosomal RNA". It matches the Rfam family "Bacterial small subunit ribosomal RNA", at positions 77 to 354 of the family's 1533-position model. The record is from RNAcentral. Lineage: Bacteria; Bacillati; Bacillota; Tissierellia; Tissierellales; Peptoniphilaceae.
CGAAGAUAAGACGGAUUAGCGGCGGACGGGUGAGUAACACGUGAGUAACCUGCCUUUUACACAGGGAUAGCCUCGGGAAACCGGGAUUAAAACCUGAUGAAACUAUCAAAUCACAUGAUUAAGAAAGUUAAAACUCCGGUGGUAAAAGAUGGACUCGCGUCCCAUUAGCUAGUUGGUGAAGGUAACGGCCCACCAAGGCAACGAUGGGUAGCCGGCCUGAGAGGGUGAACGGCCACAUUGGAACUGAGAAACGGUCCAAACUCCUACGGGAGGCAGCAGAG